UCUUGCUCUUGCUCUCUUGCCCUUCUGCCUUUUGCCAUGAGAUGACACCAGAUGCAGACCCCUCAACCUUGUACUCCUCAGUCUCCAGAACUAACAAAAUACUAAUUUUGACACAGAUAGGACUCAGGGAAGUCAUAUUCUUAAGGCGGUGGGAGAAGCAUGAAAUGCAUUUGCAGUGGCCUUGGGCCAUUGGUGGUGUCCGCAGGUGAGACAUCUCGAGUGCCUCAUGGACAAACUUCCUCAUGGAAUCCACUGGAGCAAUUAUGAGAGUCCACGGCCUCUCUUCUCUGGUUCUACCCUCUCCCAAUCUCUCACCUGUGCCGAUCACCUCAGUAAUUUGGAAACGGGCUAAGGAGGUCUCUCUUGGCACUGAGCUGUGACACCUUGGGGGAGAAAAAGUGCAGGACCAGAAAAUCUUUCUCUUCCAGUCAGUGUCAUUCAUUUAUGACCAGCGGUUGAAUCCAGUCAUAAAAUCUGAAGCUCCUGGGUACCUCUACAUCACUGGGCCUAUGAUACACUGUUUCAGAACGUACUUACACAUGGGGUGGGACGAUUUUCUUAACUAAUACUUGUGACUACUCCACAGCAAAGCUGGAAACAAAAGUAUUGGGUGAGCUAUCUUCCAAAAUCUGGAGAUGGUUUCGGAGAGAGUUUCAUUGCCAUAAAUUUAAAGGGGGAUUGGAUUUACUCAGGAAAAAUUACAAGUGAGCGUAGGAGAUAAACUAGUAAAUGCCAUAUUUGGCCCACCAGGCACAAAGAAGGGUUAUAAUUGGCUCCUUUAAGUCCUAUAUGCAGAUAUCAAAUCCCUAUACUUGCUCUUUAUUGCAUAGAAUAAAUUUACCUCACUCCUUACUUUGAAACAUGAAAUGAGGAUCAAAUUAUAGUUUCAAUUAUUGCAAAUAGUUGUACAAAUGAAAAGAUUGUCUUAUUGUGGGCAUUACACAAACCCACCAAGGAAUAAGUAAUCUUUAAAUUCUAUGAAGUGAUUUGUAAUCUGAUACAGUAAGAAAAAAAAAUCUCAGACUUUGAUUAAUUACCACCACGCUCACCGCUAUAUCACUGUCCAAUGUCAUCAUAAUUUCACUGCCACUUAAAACUACACUUCAGCCAUAGAAAGCCAAAAAAUUAGGCACUGGUGACCUGUCCAAAAGAAAAAAAAAAAAAAAGGAACAGGAAGUGGAGAAAUACCACCUCAUAAAUUUCACCCAACCACAUUUAACAGCCACCUGGAGUUCACACCAACUCACUUGGAUCUCCUAUGACGAAUAUGCCUCUAUCACAAUGUUGAGGCCACUGAGUUUCUCAUGUACUAAAAUUUGGCUUAAUGUGGUUACUCUUUCUCUCUGGGAGUUUUAAGAACAACUUCAUGGUCAUAAUAUUCUCUUUAAUAAAUAUGAUUCAUCUGAAUGUUAGAUUCCCGUUUAACUACCACAAUCUUCAGAAGAAAAGUUAUAGCUCUUACUGACUUCAGAAGCUGCUCUGGAUGACUUUAUAAUUUAUCAUCCAAAUGGAAGACGUUUGAGAGCGAAAGGAUACACUAAAAUAAUUAAAUGUAUACAAUUUUUGGAAAAUGUUUAUUGCUUAAAAAUAUUGUUUAUUGUAUGAAAUUUUGUAUAUUUAUAUUCAUGUGUCUGUAAAAACAAUUCUAUUCAAAAAUUACUUUAAAAAUUCUUUAAAGAUACAAAUAUAUUUGUAUACUUUAAAACAGGUUGAAAUAUUGAUUAUAUAAACUAUUAGAAAGUUACAUAAGCAGAAAGAAUAUUACCUGCACAUAUUUAUGUGCUUUAAUCUGCUCCUUAGCUGAAUCUGUCUCUAAUGUGUUUUUUAAAAAAUAUUUUUAAAUUAUUUUUAUUUUUCCUAUAAAAUUGUCUGAAAUAUUUGAAAUUUGAAAAUUAAAAUUCUUCAUUUAAAAAUUUGAAGUCACUGAUAUCCUUACUCACUAGACACAUCUUUGUAAAAGAACCAAAAAAAUAAAAUAUCUGUAAAUGUCCCAAGGGAACUGCUUAUCUCCAAAUAAAUUCUGCUAAAUGUGAUAUUAUCUCAAUUUCAAUUUAUUUUAAGCUGAAAUGCAUAAAUGUUUCAGCCCAAAUAUUUUCAUGGGCACUGCCUCUUUUGCCUCCAUGUAGCACAGCUUCUUCCAACAAAUUUUUUUUAAGACAACACUUGUCAAAAAAGUUGUAUCUAUUUAUAAUAUUUUUGAAAACUUCACCAAAUUAAAGCGCUGAAACAUUGUAGGCUUUGUCAAUUUUCUUUCAGUCUGAUACAAAAUACCAUUUAUCCAAUUAAAAUUAGGAAAUCAACAAAUUCUUUCCACAAGUCAGAUGUUCCAAAGCUGUUAUGUAAUUUCAAAACUAAAUGUUAGAGCCUCUUGUGAGCUCAUUCUGCAGUUCGUUCAGCUUCCCCUUGCUUUUGUAGAGAUAAAUGUUUUCCUGCCUGCAAGAUAUUGUCUUCAAUAUUUUCAGUUUGCAGAAAGCUUCAACCAGAAGUUGCUGUUUUUUCUUGCCACACCAUUUUUAAAUGCGUUGUUUAAAAAUUUUUCAGCCGAUUUUGCAUACAGUGCAACCAAAAGUUAGAUAACUCAUUUAUCAAAAUAUGAAUAUUAUUGUAGGACAUUAAGGUUGAUUUAGAAAGUAGUUAUUCAAAUGAUCAAACAUUCCUAAAAUCUUACUGAUGAGAGGCUGCAGAAAAAGCAUACCGUUAUGCUGGAGAUUUUUAAAUUCAAUAUUAGCUUUAUCACAAAAGUUUAAUUAUUCCAAUUGUGUAGAUAUAAAAAUAUUUAUGGAUUUUGACAUCUUUAGCUUCUAUUUCAAUUAGUAGAUUUUUUUAAUUAAACUUAAGUUCUGGGAUA
Molecule: long non-coding RNA, 2848 nt
Filed under: Homo sapiens (human)
Lineage: Eukaryota; Metazoa; Chordata; Mammalia; Primates; Hominidae
Description: HSALNT0336804
Source: RNAcentral